ACCACUACUGCUGCUACUAUUAAUAAUAAUGAUAGUGAUUAAACAAAAGUCCCCCAAUAUUAGAAAAAAAAAACUUUUAUAAUGAGACUAAAGCAACAAAGUAAAACGAUACAAUUAAACAAGAAACAUGGGAAACAAGAUUUUAGAAAAGAUAUAAUAAAGAAUCUUCAAAUUUACUUUGGAUAA
Molecule: long non-coding RNA, 186 nt
Filed under: Felis catus (domestic cat)
Lineage: Eukaryota; Metazoa; Chordata; Mammalia; Carnivora; Felidae
Description: lncRNA (ENSFCAG00000052939.1)
Source: RNAcentral